CUGGCUCAGGACGAACGCUGGCGGCGUGCCUAAUACAUGCAAGUCGAGCGGACCUCUUCGGAGGUCAGCGGCGGACGGGUGAGGAACACGUGGGUAAUCUGCCUUUCAGACCGGAAUAACGCCCGGAAACGGGCGCUAAUGCCGGAUACGCCCGCGAGGAGGCAUCUUCUUGCGGGGAAAGGCCCAAAUGGGCCGCUGAGAGAGGAGCCCGCGGCGCAUUAGCUGGUUGGCGGGGUAACGGCCCACCAAGGCGACGAUGCGUAGCCGACCUGAGAGGGUGACCGGCCACACUGGGACUGAGACACGGCCCAGACUCCUACGGGAGGCAGCAGUAGGGAAUCUUCCGCAAUGGGCGCAAGCCUGACGGAGCAACGCCGCGUGAGCGAAGAAGGCCUUCGGGUUGUAAAGCUCUGUUGCUCGGGGAGAGCGGCAUGGGGAGUGGAAAGCCCCAUGCGAGACGGUACCGAGU
Molecule: ribosomal RNA, 469 nt
Filed under: Alicyclobacillus acidocaldarius
Lineage: Bacteria; Bacillati; Bacillota; Bacilli; Caryophanales; Alicyclobacillaceae
Description: bacterial SSU rRNA
Rfam family: Bacterial small subunit ribosomal RNA
Source: RNAcentral